GUGGAAGCUGACAAAUUCUAAGAAAGUCAAUAAAGCGUUUUACUUGAGAGAAAUCUUUUUCCUCGUCAUUUGUAUCCCAGUAACCCAUACAACCUUCAAAGAAACUACGUGUGAGCUUAAUCAUGGAGAGCCCCUCAACAAGUUCAGCUUUAUUAGAGAACUUAAACAAUUCCUCAAGAAUGAAGAAUGGAACCUGAUUUUCAAGCAAAAUUAUGUCAUACCAUAGAUAAGAAAUCAUUUUGGGUUUGUAAAAUAUACGAUCAAUAUUGUUGCUUCGCAAUUGUGGACAAUGGUUUUUCAAUAAGAGCAUGAUGAUGAAUGUGGCAUCUAGCGACAUCAUUUUCACAAAUUUCUCACUCCCGUAUUCAAUGGUUUCUGCAUAACAAUUACUCAGUCUUCUUUCAUUUUUCUUUAUAUAUGUAAUAAGAUUCACCAAGCUUGAAUCGCUCCAUUGAAGAAAAUCAAGCAGAUACCUCCUUUUAUGCUCCUCCAUUGCUUUCAGCUUUUCCUUGCCAUGAUGAAGAGGGCCUGUUAGAUACUAAUUGAGGUGUAUACGACUCCUCAUAUAAUUUCCGUACUCUCUCUGGAGCUCGAUAGAUACAACACUCAUCAGAUAAAGGUUGCAAGAUUGCCAAAUCAUCGUUUAAAGACUUUGCUAUGUCUUUAACAUCAAGUUUAUCUUUGCUGUUCAUCUGCUCAUGAUUAGAUAUUACAAUUAA
Molecule: unclassified non-coding RNA, 719 nt
Filed under: Hevea brasiliensis (rubber tree)
Lineage: Eukaryota; Viridiplantae; Streptophyta; Magnoliopsida; Malpighiales; Euphorbiaceae
Source: RNAcentral